CCUACGGGAGGCAGCAGUAGGGAAUAUUGCACAAUGGGGGAAACCCUGAAGCAGCAACGCCGCGUGGAGGAUGAAGGUUUUAGGAGGGGAAACUCCUGGUGGGAGAGAAGAGAAUGACGGUAACUCACGAAUAAGCACCGGCUAACUCCGUGCCAGCAGCCGCGGUAAUACGGAGGGGGCAAGCGUUACUCGGAAUCACUGGGCGUAAAGAGUGCGGAGUCGGGCUGGUACGUCAGCUGUGAAAUCCUGUAGCUGAACUACAGAACUGCAUUUGAAACUAUGAGUCUAGAGUGUGGGAGAGGUAGGUUGAAUUCUUGGUGUAGCGGUCAAAUCCGUAGAUAUCAAGAGGAAUACUCAUUGCGAAGGCGACCUACUGGAACAUUACUGACGCUCAUGCACGAAAGCGUGGGUAGCAAACAGGAUUAGAUACCCCUGUAGUC
RNAcentral lists this ribosomal RNA (440 nucleotides) under uncultured bacterium. RNAcentral describes it as "partial 16S ribosomal RNA". It matches the Rfam family "Bacterial small subunit ribosomal RNA", at positions 338 to 795 of the family's 1533-position model. The record is from RNAcentral.